UUUUUUUUUAAAUGUAGAUCACUCUCCUUAAUACUUCCGCAAUCACACACCCAUAUACGUAUAUAUGAGCACGUGCAAACACAUAAUUCUCACUAUGAUAGUACUAAAACAAUUCAAUCGCUAUAUACACAAAGUUUGCUCGGUUUUGGAUAGAUCAGUUCAGAAGGCGAGCGGAAAGAAAAUGAAUCCACACUUGAAGGGAACGGCGUUGGAAUUCCGUCAAAGAACGUAAUGUUGACCAGGUCCAGGAUACAGAUUAACUUUACGCUGUCCGACGAAAAAUCGCGGGAUACGCACGACCACAUUUAUCGCUGUAUACGCCGCUCUUCGACCGACGAGCCGUGGAAUGAAAGACACCGAGGAUAUAUCGGUCCUGGCCCGAUCUCUCUACUCGUACCAAUUUACAAAUAUACAAAAAAAAAA
This is a long non-coding RNA of Temnothorax curvispinosus, 423 nucleotides long. RefSeq lists it as uncharacterized. Lineage: Eukaryota; Metazoa; Arthropoda; Insecta; Hymenoptera; Formicidae. The transcript is spliced from 2 exons. The record is from RefSeq and is a predicted model, not a curated record.